AAAGGAAUUUUGGGGAGUAGCCGUUCAGCAACUACUUCUCUCCCAAAUGUCCCUCUACAAGAGAUCUCAUCCUCACAAAACUUGAAGAAUCACCUUCUUCUCCAAACCCUUCUCACGCACACCUCCCCCAUGGUUCUCCCCUUCACAACGAGACACACUAACCACUCUACUGUUGCCUUCAUAUCAAACAAACCACACAUUUUUUUUAAAUGUUAAGUAGCGAAAAUUUCGUUUGAAUCCCAUUUCAAAUUUCCUUUUUGUUCUGUGUAAUCGUUGAAACCGUGUUCGCGUCCACAUACAUCAUCAUUCAAAGACUUUUUUUUUGGAAACUAUAACACCUUCUCGAUCAAGAAUCAAAAGGCGUUUUUAUUUUUUAUUUGGAAGUAGUAUAUAAACAAACUCUACGAGAUCGACACCCUCACCCUCACAGCGCCGUUUCGUAUCACCUACACCAUCACCGGAGUACCAUACGUCGCCGGAAAACAUCAAGUGGUCACGACAUCGUUCGGUAUACCCUUCUUAUCUUUUGUUUACUUGUUUAAUCCUUGAUGCUUGUUCGACACUAAUAUUUUAUCAAACACCUGCAACGUCGGAGCUCGAGAACAACCUUCUUCGGAACCUUCUGCAACUCGCUGGAACUUGCAAGACUUCGUCGGAGAACGGAGAAGACGACCGGAGACCCACGACUCUUCUCUUUCUGUUUCGGUGUAUCUCGUUUCCUACUACAUUUCAUUUGUUUAAAUGAUUGUUGUCCUACAUGCCUUUCAAAAUGGAGCUGAAACAAAAAAAAAAAAAAAGAAUAUAUAAACAAACAGGUACUGUUCGAUCAUUUUGUUUUAAUAAUAAGGAUGGCCACUGGCUCUUGUUUAAAAGAAUUGAUGAUUAUAAUCCAACACAAAAAUCGAUUGCAGUCCAGUGGUUGUUGUUGUUAUUAAAACACCGGAGGUCUCGAGCUCGAGACCUGCUUCUUGCCUUUUUGAACCAUUUUUGGUUGUCGAAGCCUUAUUACCAUUUUGCUGAUUAUAUUUCAUCUUUCUUUUCAAAAAAAUACAAAUAAUGAUCAACAGUUUCUUUUUUUUUAUUUUAAUUUUCUUUUAUAUAAUAAAUAUAUUCUAAACCUUUUAAAAACAUUAAAGGGUUAUAAUGACAUACAUUAUAAAAUUUAAAUAAACAAGUUGUAAACAAUAAAUAAUUAAGAUUUUAUUUAAUCUACGACUCUUAACGGGUUUUUACGUGUUAUUUUAAGAUAUCUAGGAUAAUCUCUCUCGUUCGUUCCCUUGGAUUCUCAUUCUUUACUUGUACGUUACAAGAAAUCGCAACGCAACCAAUGAUUGUGACAGAUGAAUCCAGUAGGAUUGCCUAGAAACGCAUUUAAACUUUGUUGCUCGAUGUAUUGUAAUUUACUUUUGAUUCUGUUGUAUUCUGGUUCCAUUACUUGUAAUAAUUCAUUAUUAAUGAAAUGAAUUAUAAUUUAUUUAUGUA
Molecule: long non-coding RNA, 1482 nt
Organism: Helianthus annuus (common sunflower)
Lineage: Eukaryota; Viridiplantae; Streptophyta; Magnoliopsida; Asterales; Asteraceae
Exons: 2
Source: RefSeq, a predicted model, not a curated record